CCACGGACCCCUCUAUUGGCUGCACGGGACUGGCGAUAUCCAGGAAAGGCCAUCAGGGGCCCUGGGUGUGGAAGGAUGUGCUCUCUUGGUUUUCCUGGCUUCUGGCUCUGUCCAGUAUGAUGAAGUGUAGAGGUGAAUGCCCCUGAGCAAGCCACAGAGCUUCUGAGAACCUCUGCUCCCUCGCCUUUCCAGGAUCUUAGAUGCCAGUGGGAUACUCCCGAGUCCCAAAGUCAGGGCCUAACUCACUAUUUUAAAUUAUUUUAAAUUAUAUUGUGCCCCUGACCCAUGUGUGUGUGUGUGUGUGUGUGUGUGUGUGUGUGUGUGUGUGUGUACAGCUUGUGGGAGUCAGUUCUCUCCUACCAUUCUAUCAUGUGGAUCCUGGGGAAAACCACCAACCUUGAGAGCACACAUCUGAACUGUCUCCUCACUGUUUUUAUUGCUUUACCAAACUCAAACUCUUGCUGAAUAAGCUAUGGGUGUCUAGUCCUACAAGACCCCAUGAGGACAAAGACUUUCUUAAGAACUGGUUCCUAGUCAGUAGGUAGAGGCAGGCAGAUCUCUGAGUUCAAGGCCCAGGACAGCUAGGACUGUAGUCUGGCCGACUGAGAAAACUAGGCUUGAAAACAACAAAACCAAAAAAAGAACUGGCUACUGGGGAGCGUAACUCACCUGGUUGUGUACACGCAGGAAACCUUGGGUUCAGUCCUCAGCACGAGGCUGGUGUAUGCUUAUGAUCCCAGCUCUGAGGAAGUGGAGGCAGGAAGAUCAUGAGUUCAAGAUCCUCCUCAGCUGCUGACUGGCACCCAAUUUUUAGGAAAUAAUUUCCUGAAACUUUUUUAUCUGGAAGAUAAGCACAAAUAUUUAGUUUUACAAAAUCAAUAGUUAUAAUGUGAAUAGUUAUAAAUUGCCUUAAUGUUCAACUAUUGUCAGUUGUUAGUGUGAUAAGACAAAUAGAAUAUUAUACAACCUUUAAGAGGAAGCAGGUGGUUGUUAUUGGUGUGGAAAGAUGUUAAUUACUAAAGAAAAACAAGAUACUGUCUUAGUUAAGGUUUCGUUGCUGUGAAUAGACACCAUGACCAAGCCACUCUUACAAGGAAAACGUUUAACUGGGGCUAGCUUACAGGUUCAGGAGUUUAGACCAUUAUCAUCAAAGCAAGACAUAUACAUGGUGGUGUACAGACAGACACGGUGCUGGAGAAGGAGCUGAGAACUCCUCCUUGAUCUGCAGGUAGCAGGAGACUGUACCACUACACUGGGCAUGGUUUGAGCAUAGGAAACCUCAAAGCCCACCCCCACAGUGACACACUUUCCCAACAAGGCCACACCUACUCCUACAAGGCCACACCUCCUAAUAGUGGCACUCCCUAUGGGCCAAGCAUUCAAACACAUGAGUCUAUGGUGGCUAUAUCUGUAAAUGGAUUUUUAUUAAACUCUAUGAGUUAGUGGCAUGACUCAGUCAACCCCCCUCCCCCAUAACCAAGGCAGAAUCCUAUGGAUUAUUUAACCAGCUCUUGCACAAUUACUGGGGGAUUACCCCUAAUCUUUGUUUCUAUUAACUAGACUGUUAAUUCCCAGCUGUGCUCCCCAAAUAUUUGCUGUUGGAACCUUGCCUGGGUUACUUCUGUUGCAGCAAACUGUCCUGGGGGGUGGGGGUGGGGGACAUUUCACUCAGGCACAUGCUCCUGGGCCAUCAUGUCUAACGGAGACCUUCUGUCUGUCCUCUGUCUUCCUUCUCCUAUUCCUCUCUUUCUUUUUCAUGGUCUCUACCUGCAGCCCAUAACCAGGUAACUGAAAACCAGCCUACCUCUACUGUCCCCAGUCAUUGGCUGUAGCCACCUUUAUUUAACCAAUAGUUUAAAAUUGGGGAGCAAGGUUUACAUAGCAUUACUUGGUGUAUGUGAGGAUCUGCUCGUGGGGGUGGGGUGGCUACCAGAUCUUGGGGGCCGGUAUUUAGCAUUUGAAUACAUAGCAGCACCAGCCGCUAGCUAACACAUACCAAUUCAAACGACAGCAAAGACUAUUUGUAUAUCAAAAACAUGUACUUGUAUAUUUAAAAAUCUGUAAGUUAUUGCAUCCAGAAGUCAACAGUAGAUAACCUUGAAUAUGGUUUUCAGUGAUUUCCCGGUCUAGAUUUUCCUCUUCCAAGUUCUCCACCCUGUACAUUGCUUUCGUGAAUGAUAAUGGUGAUGGAGAAUUAAAGAGGGGGGGGAGAUAAAGCUAUUAAUUUAAAAAAAGUUUCUUCCUUUAACUUUUAAAUUACUGACUAAAAAUGAAGACAUGACCACUCCUAGGUGUAAUUAAGAAGGUUUAAUUGUAGACUCGAGGGAAAGUACAGCCAGAGGCAUCUGGAAGAAUCCAGACUAAACGUGGUCAAGGGAGGUGGGGGUUAGUGAAAGAGAAACUGGAAAGGCAGAAGUGGCUAUAGACUAAUAGGCCAAGAGGGCUGGAAACCAAAAUGUAUAGGGAUGUAAGCUGGGGGAAGGGAAGCCUAGCACCUGGGUUAGAGAGGUUUAGAGUAGGGGAGGGGCAAGAAGUGCUCCUGGAGCCAAAGGUACAGUCCUGCUGGCUAGGAUCUGCUUUGAUAUGUUAAUAGUUCCUCUGUUUGCUCAGUCGUAGGUUUCUUUGAGACCUAACAUGUAUUUGUUAUUAAAAUGAUGGAGGGGGGGGUAGUCAGGUAGGAGUGGUGCACACGUUAAUCAGCUUAGAGGACGGUCUGGUCUACUGAGUGAGCCAGGGCUAUAGGAGAAAGCCUGUCCCCAAACACAAAACGAACCUAAACAAACAAAACAAAAAGGAAGAAAGGGGCUGGCUCUUUGUUCCAAGGGACCCAGGUUCAAUUCCCAGCACCCAAACAGCAGCUUACAACUGUCUGUAACUCCAGGAUCUGGCACCCUUGCACAAACAUACAUGCGGCAACAAAGCAAUACAAGGAAGAGAAAUUUCGACUAGAAAAUAUUUCCUAUUAUGUAAUUUUUUGUGCCUAUUGAUAGGAAACUGUGAUAUUUUGAUACCUAUGUACUUUGUAUAGAGUAAUUGGUAGGCCACCUUGUAUAUUUAUCAUUUCCUGAUCAGCUGUAAUCAAUCACAAACAUGAGUUCAGUACUGCUGACCACAGAAUACUACACUGUGCAAGAAGAC
This 3138-nucleotide long non-coding RNA is filed under the name Mus pahari (shrew mouse). Its description in RNAcentral is "lncRNA (MGP_PahariEiJ_G0004388.1)". The record is from RNAcentral. Lineage: Eukaryota; Metazoa; Chordata; Mammalia; Rodentia; Muridae.